Molecule: ribosomal RNA, 1444 nt
Filed under: uncultured organism
Description: partial small subunit ribosomal RNA
Rfam family: Bacterial small subunit ribosomal RNA
Source: RNAcentral
CGAACGCUGGCGGCGUGCUUAACACAUGCAAGUCGAACGGAAAGGCCCUGCUUUUGUGGGGUGCUCGAGUGGCGAACGGGUGAGUAACACGUGAGUAACCUGCCCUUGACUUUGGGAUAACUUCAGGAAACUGGGGCUAAUACCGGAUAGGAGCUCCUGCUGCAUGGUGGGGGUUGGAAAGUUUCGGCGGUUGGGGAUGGACUCGCGGCUUAUCAGCUUGUUGGUGGGGUAGUGGCUUACCAAGGCUUUGACGGGUAGCCGGCCUGAGAGGGUGUCCAGCCACAUUGGGACUGAGAUACGGCCCAGACUCCUACGGGAGGCAGCAGUGGGGAAUAUUGCACAAUGGGCGGAAGCCUGAUGCAGCAACGCCGCGUGCGGGAUGACGGCCUUCGGGUUGUAAACCGCUUUCGCCUGUGACGAAGCGUGAGUGACGGUAAUGGGUAAAGAAGCACCGGCUAACUACGUGCCAGCAGCCGCGGUGAUACGUAGGGUGCGAGCGUUGUCCGGAUUUAUUGGGCGUAAAGGGCUCGUAGGUGGUUGAUCGCGUCGGAAGUGUAAUCUUGGGGCUUAACCCUGAGCGUGCUUUCGAUACGGGUUGACUUGAGGAAGGUAGGGGAGAAUGGAAUUCCUGGUGGAGCGGUGGAAUGCGCAGAUAUCAUGAGGAACACCAGUGGCGAAGGCGGUUCUCUGGGCCUUUCCUGACGCUGAGGAGCGAAAGCGUGGGGAGCGAACAGGCUUAGAUACCCUGGUAGUCCACGCUGUAAACGGUGGGUACUAGGUGUGGGGUCCAUUCCACGGGUUCCGUGCCGUAGCUAACGCUUUAAGUACCCCGCCUGGGGAGUAGGGCCGCAAGGCUAAAACUCAAAGGAAUUGACGGGGCCCCGCACAAGCGGCGGAGCAUGCGGAUUAAUUCGAUGCAACGCGUAGAACCUUACCUGGGUUUGACAUGGAUCGGGAGUGCUCAGAGAUGGGUGUGCCUCUUUUGGGGUCGGUUCACAGGUGGUGCAUGCCUGUCGUCAGCUCGUGUCGUGAGAUGUUGGGUUAAGUCCCGCAACGAGCGCAACCCUUGUUCACUGUUGCCAGCACGUUAUGGUGGGGACUCAGUGGAGACCGCCGGGGUCAACUCGGAGGAAGGUGGGGAUGACGUCAAGUCCUCAUGCCCCUUAUGUCCAGGGCUUCACGCAUGCUACAAUGGCUGGUACAGAGAGUGGCGAGCCUGUGAGGGUGAGCGAAUCUCGGAAAGCCGGUCUCAGUUCGGAUUGGGGUCUGCAACUCGACCUCAUGAAGUCGGAGUCGCUAGUAAUCGCAGAUCAGCAACGCUGCGGUGAAUACGUUCCCGGGGCUUGUACACACCGCCCGUCAAGUCAUGAAAGUUGGUAACACCCGAAGCCGGUGGCCUAACCGUUGUGGGGGAGCCGUCGAAGGUGGGACUGGUGAUUAGGAC